GCGCCCUUUUUAUCUAACCCACCCUGUCAACUUUCCCAGUGGGAGGAAACCAGAGUACCCGGGGAAAACCCACGGCCUUCGGCAGAGCGUUGACUUUUACUCUUUUCGCAUGGGGACUGGGUUCGAGCCGCAUUGGGAAGGUACUUAGUGAGACUCGAACCUGCAGCCUCAGAGGUGAAAGGCAAGUGCGCUAACCACUUGGCCACCGAAGCCCCCUAA
This 219-nucleotide long non-coding RNA is filed under the name Paramuricea clavata. The record is from RNAcentral. Lineage: Eukaryota; Metazoa; Cnidaria; Anthozoa; Malacalcyonacea; Plexauridae.